AGUUUUAUAGUUUAAAAAAAACAUUAAUUUUGUAAAUUAAAAUUAAAUUUAUAUUUUAAAACUC
Molecule: transfer RNA, 64 nt
Filed under: Cardiocondyla obscurior
Lineage: Eukaryota; Metazoa; Arthropoda; Insecta; Hymenoptera; Formicidae
Description: tRNA-Thr
Source: RNAcentral